This 715-nucleotide ribosomal RNA is filed under the name Triticum aestivum (bread wheat). RNAcentral describes it as "partial small subunit ribosomal RNA". Lineage: Eukaryota; Viridiplantae; Streptophyta; Magnoliopsida; Poales; Poaceae. The record is from RNAcentral.
AUUGGGCUCCAAAAACACCUGGGCUUCAUUCUUUGACUCUUGGCGCGCUGGUGGGGGGUUUGAUGAGGGCUUUAGGCUAGGGGAGCCAGGUGAUCGAAGAGGGAAAGGCGGAGAGUUAGGCGCGCCGCUGCUUCCCCUCCCUUAGGGGAUCCAAAAAUCGACGCUCGCAGCGGCCGCCCGUCAGCCCCCGGCGCUGCCGGUUCCCCUUGCCCUCACGCCUGGCAGCGCCUGGAGGCGUCUCCCCGUCGCACAGUUGUCGGCUUCGUGGUCGUAAGGUGGGCUCGCUGGUGCGUGCGCUCCUUAUCCUCCCCUUCGAGAGCCACCGCGCACCGCCGCUUGCAGAGGCAAUCUUCCAUCAGUUGACCCUGUCGAAGCUCUACGUACAAGUGUUCUCCCACUUUCUGGUACAAUCGAGUGGCCUACAACGGUUCGUCUAGGGGUAACUCUCCAACUCCACUGGUAGGCGCUGGUCACGCUUCCGUCGGUUUCCUGUACGUAGACAACCACUACCCUAGACAAUCCUACGGUUGGUUUCACGAGUUGUAGUGGUGGUUCUUCAGGGGAACACAGCGUUCCACUGGAACACCACCACCACGCGGCGGAACGAAGGCCGCGAUUGCUCUACCACCCCAACAACGGCACCAAUGGGCACCAAUCCACUCACUAAAUCACUGUUCACUAAGUAAAAGUAGAGACAACCUUAUAUUAUUGUUUU